This 480-nucleotide ribosomal RNA is filed under the name uncultured bacterium. RNAcentral describes it as "bacterial SSU rRNA". It matches the Rfam family "Bacterial small subunit ribosomal RNA", at positions 28 to 507 of the family's 1533-position model. The record is from RNAcentral.
GACGAACGCUGGCGGCGUGCCUAACACAUGCAAGUCGAACGAGAAUCGGUGGAUAGAGGCUUCGGCCAAUUGAAAUCGAGGACAGUGGCGGACGGGUGAGUAACGCGUGAGGAACCUGCCUUUCAGAGGGGGACAACAGUUGGAAACGACUGCUAAUACCGCAUAACGCAUAGGGGUCGCAUGAUUCUUAUGCCAAAGAUUUAUCGCUGAAAGAUGGCCUCGCGUCUGAUUAGCUAGUUGGUGAGGUAACGGCCCACCAAGGCGACGAUCAGUAGCCGGACUGAGAGGUUGAACGGCCACAUUGGGACUGAGAUACGGCCCAGACUCCUACGGGAGGCAGCAGUGGGGAAUAUUGGGCAAUGGGCGCAAGCCUGACCCAGCAACGCCGCGUGAAGGAAGAAGGUUUUCGGGUUGUAAACUUCUUUUGUCAGGGAAGAGUAGAAGACGGUACCUGGCGAAUAAGCCACGGCUAACUACGUG